AUGUGGAACAAUGUAGAUCUCAAAAGUGACCAGCCAUGUGAGCUAUCACACCAAUUCAUAAAAAAGAUUACAAAUGAUUACGACCAGCAGCUAAUAGUUGGCAAUGGUGCAUUCGGAACAGUUUUCAAGGGUAUUUGUGAGAAUGGAGAAGAGGUUGCUGUGAAGGUACUUAAGAACAUGACAGGAAUUGAUAAUAAGGAAUUUCACAAGGAGUUCGAGAACCUUAGGAGGCUCAAGCAUCAAAAUGUCGUCCAGCUAUUGGGUUUCUGCAAUGAAGCAGAGAAAGUACUUGUAGAAAAUACUGGGAACCAACUUAUUGCUGACGAGAUGCAUACGGCGCUCAUCUUUGAAUAUGUACGCAAUGGUAGCCUUGACAAUCAUAUGUCAGCUGACGGAUGCUCAGGACUUAAUUGGCAUAAACAAUACACAAUAAUCAAAGGGAUCUGUCAAGGUUUAGAAUAUCUUCGGCAUGGAUUGGAGCGUUCAGUAUGGCAUUUGGAUUUAAAGCCUGGUAAUAUCUUGCUAGAUAACAAUAUGAUCCCGAAAAUUGCAGAUUUCGGAUUAUCGAGACUCUUGGGUAAUGACAAAUCAAGAAAGACAAUUAAUAACGUCGGUACAAUUGGUUACUUGCCCCGAGAGUAUAUAGAUUAUGGUCUAAUCUCAGAACAGUUCGAUAUAUAUAGCUUGGGGGUUAUAAUUGCAAAGUUAAUGGCCGGAUGUGAAGGCUACUUCGAUAUUGAUGACAUGGGAGAAAAAGGAUUUGUCAAGCAUGUACAUAACAAUUGGAGGAAAAGGCUACGUGCUACGUUGGCCGCGAGGCCACUUGAAGUAUAUUGUGAACAAGUCAGGACGUGCAUUAACAUAGCAGUAAAAUGCAUGAACCGCAGGCGACAAGAAAGACCCACCAUACAGUCCAUCGUCUCUGAUCUGAUAGAGACGGAAAUAAUGAUUGGUAACCUACGGCUGGAGACAGAACUGUUCCUUGACGAAGAACACAACCUUCCCGAGGGAGGCAUCCAAGAUAGAACACCUAAUAUGGCCUCUGAAUCAAGUAGAUGUAAAAGCAUAGAUGGUCGGGCGAAAUUGAAGGAAGUGCCGUUACAACUAUUGAAGAGAAUUACAAAUGAUUUCUCUGUGGAGCGAAUACUCAGUAGUGGAGGAAGUGUUUAUAAGGGAAUUCUGGAAGAUGGCGAAGUGGUUGCUGUAAAGAAACUUCAGGAAAAUACGCUAGUUGCAGAUGACAAAGCAUUUAUUAAAGAGGUUACAAGUGUUGCCGCCCUCAUCAAACAUGAAAAUGCACUCCAGUUGGUUGGCUUCUGCCAUGGCAAAAAGAAGAAAUUAGUGCCGUCGGAUAACAAAUUUAUUACUGCAGAAGUUACGCAAAGUUCCCUAUGCUAUGAACAUUUACCUACAGGAAGCCUUGAGAGGAAUCUUUUUGAAGUACCCACAAAAAUGGACUGGGAGACACGCUUCAAAAUAAUUAAAGGGGUUUGCAAUGGUUUGCUCUUUCUACAUAGCACUUCUAUUGUCCAUAUGGAUCUCAACCCUGGAAACAUACUAUUGGAUAAUAACAUGCGGCCAAAAAUAGCGGACUUUGCUCUCUCGAGACUCUUCUGUCAUGAAGCAACACGACUUUGCACGCAGACUGUUGUGGGAUCAUAUGGAUACAUGGCUCCGGAAUAUCUAUACAGAGGUGAAAUCUCCACCAGGUCAGACAUUUACAGUUUAGGCAUGCUCAUCAUAGAGAUCACUGCAGAAGAGAAAAAUCUUUCGAGGAAGGAGAAACAACCAUCUGGACGGACAUUUAUUGACAAUGUACGUAAAACUUGGACACGUGAACAUAUCGCGUCAUUGUACUCAUCCUCGCCCCCCCAGCACCUCCAUGAAGUCGAAGCAUGCAUCGAAAUUGGACUGAAGUGUACAUCAAUUGAUCGGCGCAGCAGACCUUCCAUAGAAGAAAUCGUCGAGACGCUCAACGGCCUUCCGCAGAUAGGCUGUGAUGGCCUUCUCAGCCUCCAAUCCCGGCGGGUAAACUUCCCUAUGGAGCCAAGAAGGUUGACCUCCAGCUCGGUUUACCUAGUGAACAACACGGAUGCCCUUAUUGCCUUCAGGCUUGCAACCGAACUCCCAAGGAGGUACCUUACAAAGCUACCAUUUUGCGGGAUUGUGCCGCCAAAGUGCGCCAACACUUUCACCCUGAUAACACGCGAGCAGAAGAAGCCGCCACCGUCAAACAGUGACGACUGUCUGAUACUACAAAGCAGAACUGCACACAAUGAGAAUAUGGACAAUGUUUACCCAGCUAAUUAUGCGGCCCUGUUCCUUGAUACCGCUGCCGAUGAGGUGCAAGAAGCCAAAAUUGUGGUUGCCUGUGAAACUGAAACUAUCCCUGAUCAGAUCAUAGACGGCCAAAAUUAUCGUGAGGUAUUGUCCAUAGAUGUCCACCCAACCGAGCCGUGGAUCUUGACAAGCAACCAGAGGGGUUAUGUUUGCAUUUGGAACUACCAAACACAGGCAGAGGAGGGUUCUAUUGAAGUGACUAGAGAACCAGUACAUUCAGCAAAAUUUAUUGGACGAGAGGAAUGGUUUGUGGUCGGUAGUGGCGAUGGAUACAUCUAUGUGUGCGAUUAUAAUACCAUGGAAGAAGUCGUCGACAUGAUUGAAGCUCAUGAUGGUCAUCGCAUCAUGUGUCUGGCCGUGAGUCCAACUCAACCGUUUGUGCUGUCAGCAUCUGACGACCACACGAUUAAGCUUUGGGACUGGGCUAAGGAAUGGCAGUGUACCCGAACUUUUGAGGGGCACUAUGACACAGUCACACGAGUAAUGUUUGACCCCAGGAACAACGAAAGCUUCGCGAGUGCUUCCAUGGAUCACACUGUCAAGAUCUGGAAUAUUCACUCUGCGACAUGCAACAUCACUUGGGAUGGGCAUCCGGAUGGUCUACUCUGUGUUCACUACUUCCCACGGUACUUUCAGCAGUUUUUGAUUUCCGGAUCCUCAGAUGGUGCUGCAAAGAUCUGGGACCUAGAGACAGACACUUGUGUGGAUACGCUCCAAGACCAUGCAAAGGGUAUCAGUGCUCUUUGUUGGCACCCAGAACUUCGAGUGCUAGUUACUGGUUCGCUUGAUGGGACUGCACGAAUCUGGAACUGGAAAUAUGCUAGUAGUACAUACAGGCUUGAGAACAUCAUUGGAUUUAAUCUUGGCGCUGUUAACGCUCUUGGAUACCUAAAUGGGUCAACAAGGAUUGUGGUUGGAUGCCAUCAAGGAAUAGCACUGAUGGAAGUUAACGAGCUGACCGCCUGA
RNAcentral lists this ribosomal RNA (3306 nucleotides) under Triticum aestivum (bread wheat). RNAcentral's name for it is "partial small subunit ribosomal RNA". The record is from RNAcentral. Lineage: Eukaryota; Viridiplantae; Streptophyta; Magnoliopsida; Poales; Poaceae.